CUGCUUUUCAGCCCACAGACCUGUGCGAGACGGAGCUGGUUCUGUCCAGCAGAUGGUGGUGGUGUCGUGGCCCAGUGCUUCCGAGAGGCAGACCACACAUUCCUUGGGAAAAGAUCUCCAGAAGCUGCAUCAAGCAAGUAAAAUCAAGAAGAGGGAGGAUGUGCUGAUUAAAUGAAAAACCCAUCCUUGCACAGAGUCACUGGCACUCUGACUUCUGCCAGAUAACUUUAUGCUCUGUUAUCACUGAGGUGAUGUAUUUAUCAGCUGCCAGUGCCCAGAGCAAGCCUCAUGCUAUUUCUGGAGAAACCUAUGAAGUCUCUGGAAAGAGAUGAGGAACCAAAAGAAACCAUCCAGUGCAAGAGUCCAAGGAAGCCUACCACAGCUUCCCCGUUCAACGUUGCCGUUUUGGGCUGAGGCACUCUCGAGCAGCAAAAGGACCUAUCUGGCAGUGGGAGCAGGCAGCACACCUUCUGCGCACUUGCAGCAGAAAGCUAAGCCAGGGCUCUUCCGGUAAGAAAGCACGGACCUGCUGAAAUUAGAAUAUCCUGUGCAAAAGUACCAGGCGGAUGAACUAUGGUAGGAUCUGGCCGAGGCUCCCGCUGAGCAUCUGGCUGCCGGAACCUUGGAAUUGGCAGCAAAUGGAAAUUCAACUCUUCAUCAGACAUACCUGGCGCAGUUUUGAUCAUCUUGGUCUCAGCCUUAAGAUCUAAGGAACUGUGCUGGAUAGAGCGGGGGUACAGGAAAAGAGACUGAAAAAGAACUGAGAUGUCACUUUUGCCACCCUUGCCCUUGUCUCUGACUUCACUGGCAGAUUUUAGGACUGAUGCAAGGAGGCUGCUGACUGACAGCCCUGUGGAGAGAAACUCGGAACCAGUAUUAAUGACGGCCAGCCUGCCUGCUGGGAGAGUGACACCUCUAGCUGUGACAUCUUAAUAUGAAGCGAGUCCAUGAGAGGGUCCCAGCCACAGCAGCUGAGAGGAGUUUUACAUCUCAACAUGGCAAUGUGAAGAAAGGAAAAAAAAAUUGUUAUAAGAUUCUAACCAAUUUCAGUCUCUUGAAUUUGCCUCUGCUGGAUGGUUUCAUAUUCACAGAUUCUAGUGGGGGGGUUGGAGCUGCAAGACGAGUGCUGGGCGCACAGAGGCCUGCUGGGUACUCGGAGCUACUGACUCACAUGGAGUCCUGGCAGGACGAAAAUCUCUGCACUGCAGUCUGGCCGAAGUAUCUCACCAGGACAGUGGGAGAAAUGUUUCUCUCAUCAGCCCCUUUGAGAGUGCACACACCAUCCCCUUGUCUUGUGAAAGGUACUGCCUUUCACACGGGAGAGCUGGAAUUGUGUAUGGCCACCUAGAGCCAGCUCCAAGGAGAGCUGAGGCAAGCGCUCCCCUUCCCAGGAGGCAAUCGAUCCUCACAGCACGAAGGCUGGUGCUCAGGGGGGCAGAUGGCUCAUGAGCUGGGAGAAGAAGCUGCGCUUAAUACUCUACUGCGCGUCGGGGGGCUGCAUUUCGUUCUCCGCUCUGCACGCGUGCUGGGUAAGAGCUGAAACGACAACAGAGCGCUGGCGGGGGUAGCAGGAGCAGCUAGCAGGACAGAGCUGCGCUGCUCACCCAGCACAGCUCCAGCGAGACCUAACAAGCUAAAGUGAGCGCAGUGCUCCUGGGCGGGGGAGGCAGCGACGUCACGGGAGGACAGACCUGAAACUCUAAUAGCUCUACUCACAUCGUGAGCCGGGUGUUGCAUGGUGCCCUGUUUAUCUGCGUGGCUGCAGUUUUCCGUUCUCCUUGUUGAAUAAGUAGUUUAAAAUAACUGAUUCAUGUUUGUGGGUGGGUGUGCUUUGCCUCUUCUUUUUUUUUUUCUU
Molecule: long non-coding RNA, 1855 nt
Organism: Dromaius novaehollandiae (emu)
Lineage: Eukaryota; Metazoa; Chordata; Aves; Casuariiformes; Dromaiidae
Exons: 10
Source: RefSeq, a predicted model, not a curated record